This 253-nucleotide ribosomal RNA is filed under the name uncultured bacterium. RNAcentral's name for it is "partial 16S ribosomal RNA". It matches the Rfam family "Bacterial small subunit ribosomal RNA", at positions 524 to 776 of the family's 1533-position model. The record is from RNAcentral.
UACGUAGGGUGCAAGCGUUAAUCGGAAUUACUGGGCGUAAAGCGCGCGUAGGCGGCUUUGCAAGUCGGGUGUGAAAUCCCCAGGCUUAACCUGGGAACUGCAUCCGAGACUGCAGUGCUAGAGUAUGGGAGAGGGAAGUGGAAUUUCAGGUGUAGCGGUGAAAUGCGUAGAUAUCUGAAAGAACAUCAGUGGCGAAAGCGACUUCCUGGACCAAUACUGACGCUCAUGUGCGAAAGCGUGGGGAGCAAACAGG